CCUACGGGUGGCAGCAGUGGGGAAUAUUGCACAAUGGGGGAAACCCUGAUGCAGCGACGCCGCGUGAGUGAAGAAGGAUUUCGGUAUGUAAAGCUCUAUCAGCAGGGAAGAAAAUGACGGUACCUGAUUAAGAAGCCCCGGCUAACUACGUGCCAGCAGCCGCGGUAAUACGUAGGGGGCAAGCGUUUUCCGGAUUUACUGGGUGUAAAGGGAGCGUAGACGGCAGCACAAGUCUGGAGUGAAAUGCCGGGGCUUAACCCCGGAACUGCUUUUGAAACUGUGCAGCUAGAGUGCAGGAGAGGUAAGGGGAAUUCCCGGUGGAGCGGUGAAAUGCGUAGAUAUUAGGAAGAACACCAGUGGCGAAGGCGGCUUACUGGACCGUUACUGACGUUGAGGGUCGAAAGCGUGGGGAGCAAACAGGAUUAGAUACCCUGGUAGUC
This 440-nucleotide ribosomal RNA is filed under the name uncultured bacterium. RNAcentral's name for it is "partial 16S ribosomal RNA". It matches the Rfam family "Bacterial small subunit ribosomal RNA", at positions 338 to 795 of the family's 1533-position model. The record is from RNAcentral.